This is an RNA transcript of Abrus precatorius (Indian licorice), 2966 nucleotides long. It is a transcript of the gene named protein VAC14 homolog, with no coding region annotated. Lineage: Eukaryota; Viridiplantae; Streptophyta; Magnoliopsida; Fabales; Fabaceae. The transcript has 18 exons. The record is from RefSeq and is a predicted model, not a curated record.
AUAAAAGGGUUUCAAUUUCAAUUUUCCGUCAUUUCAAUUCCCGAAUUUUAUCAGAUCUGAAUCAUCUGAAUCCCAAUUUUCCAAUUCAAGUCGCUUUCCACGUCACUCAUUAUCCCAUCCCCACAAAAAAAGAAAAGAGCGAAAAGAAUUGAACUUUCGAUUUCAUUUGUGAUCCCCAAAAGGAAAAGAGAGGGGAAACCUGCAAGAAAACGAGAAUCCACUGUCAAAAUGUUUCGUUUCGAGGAGGAAAAGAUCCGGAAACGAAUUUGAUUUGUAAAGUUCUUUUCUUUUUCCCAAUCAAACACUUCCCAGCUUGGUGGCUGUUGCCAUGGCCGACGCUCUUUCGUUGAUUCCCGCAGCCGUGCUUCGCAACCUUGCUGACAAGCUCUACGAGAAGCGCAAGAAUGCUGCUAUUGAGAUUGAGGGUAUAGUGAAGCAGCUAUCUACUGCUGGGGAUCAUGAUAAGAUAACGGCUGUGAUUAAUUUGUUGACUUCGGAUUUCACUCAGUCACCACAAGCCAAUCACCGGAAGGGAGGAUUGAUAGGAUUGGCAGCUGCAACUGUUGGGUUGACUUCUGACGCAGCUCAACAUCUUGAGCAAAUUGUGCCCCCUGUGUUAAAUUCUUUCUCUGAUCAAGAUAGCAGAGUUCGUUAUUAUGCUUGUGAGGCACUAUACAAUAUAGCCAAGGUUGUGAGAGGGGAUUUUAUUAUUUUCUUCAACCAAAUCUUUGAUGCCUUAUGCAAGCUGUCUGCGGACUCAGAUGCCAAUGUACAAAGUGCUGCUCACCUCUUAGAUAGGCUUGUGAAGGAUAUCGUGACUGAAAGUGAUCAGUUCAGCAUUGAAGAAUUUAUACCUUUAUUGAGGGAGCGCAUGAAUGUGUUGAAUCCAUAUGUCCGCCAGUUUUUGGUAGGAUGGAUUACUGUGUUGGACAGUGUCCCAGAUAUUGAUAUGCUGGGUUUUCUGCCUGAUUUUCUUGAUGGCUUGUUUAAUAUGUUGAGUGAUUCAAGUCAUGAAAUACGUCAACAGGCUGAUUCAGCUCUUUCAGAGUUUCUUCAGGAGAUUAAGAACUCCCCAGUAAGGCUCCUGCUAAUGUAUUUUCCCCCUUUUAUUUGAAUUUCUGUAGAUUAUGGUCGAAUGGCUGAAAUACUGGUACAAAGAGCAGGUUCUCCAGAUGAAUUUACUAGGCUAACCGCUAUCACUUGGAUAAAUGAGUUUGUCAAACUUGGUGGAGACCAGCUUGUUCCAUAUUAUGCUGAUAUUCUUGGAGCCAUUUUGCCUUGUAUAUCAGAUAAAGAAGAGAAAAUCAGAGUUGUUGCUCGUGAAACCAAUGAAGAGCUACGGGCCCUCAAGGCUGAUCCAGCAGAAGCAUUUGAUGUAGGAGCAAUCCUCUCCAUUGCCAGGAGGUUUAGUUUUCCUGACCUGGGUGGUUUGAACCCCUGUCGAAGCUAUAAUGAAAUGAUUGGGGGUCCUUUUUGUUUAGCUAACUAAUCUAUUUUGCACCAAUUAUUCUGUGGAAUGAUUUUGGGAUGGUUUGACUGAUCAGGCAAUUAUCCAAUGAGUGGGAGGCUACUCGAAUUGAAGCAUUGCACUGGAUAUCAACUCUUUUAAAUAAAUAUCGUUCUGAGGUUUUGCAAUUUUUGAAUGACAUAUUUGACACCCUGCUCAAGGCACUUUCAGAUCCAUCUGACAAGGUUGUUCUUCUUGUUCUUGAUGUUCAUGCAUGCAUUGCAAAAGAUCCUCAGCACUUUCGGCAGCUUGUUGUUUUCCUGGUGCACAAUUUCCGGAUAGAUAAUUCCCUUUUGGAGAAGCGUGGUGCUUUGAUAAUUCGUCGACUUUGUGUGCUUUUGAAUGCCGAGCGAGUCUACCGUGAACUUUCUACCAUACUCGAAGGGGAAUCGGACUUGGAUUUUGCAUCAAUUAUGGUUCAGGCUUUGAAUUUGAUCUUACUUACAUCAUCAGAACUAUCUGAGAUUCGAGAUCUUUUGAAGCAAUCACUGGUAAAUCCUGCUGGGAAGGAUUUAUACGUUUCUUUGUAUGCCUCAUGGUGCCAUUCUCCAAUGGCAAUUAUAAGUCUAUGCUUUUUAGCUCAGACUUACCAACAUGCAAGUGCUGUAAUUCAAUCUCUGGUUGAGGAGGAUACUAAUGUCAAAUUCUUAGUCCAGCUGGAUAAAUUGAUUCGCUUGCUGGAAACUCCAAUCUUUGCUUAUCUAAGAUUGCAGCAAAGUGCAGCCUUCAAGAUACUCAAAACUCGUUUAAAAGCUGUUUCAUCGUACUCUUUCAACAGUGAGCAAUUAAAGAAAACAUCGUCCGGGAAUCCCUAUCAGUUUCUCCAUCACAUAUCUGGUGGAUCUCAAGUCACUGAGGAUGGUGACAUAAAUGGGGAUGGUGGGAACUCGCACAAUGGAAUAAAUUUUGCUUUAAGGUUACAACAGUUUCAGCAAAUGCAGCAUCAGCAUCGUGUGCACUUGAAAACACCGGCACAGUCACAGAAAAAUUCCACCUCAUCAUCUAAGGAGACACAAAAACAGGAAGAAGCAAGGAGACCCCAGUUGAGUGAGCCUAACGUUGCUCCAUCAAGAUCAUCCAAGAGAGCCCUGGGUAGCUAGAAUGUUGCUUAUUGCUCCAUAUUGAGUCAACCUUAUUGUGCACUGAUCCCAGUGUAUGUGAACUUUGAAUGGGAUCAGGUAUUGAUUUGUAAAAUUGUAAAUCAUAAUAGCUGUUUUUAUUGUACUUAUCAUAGAAGGUCGGGGUGGUGCAAAAGUGGGUUUUGGAAUCAUGAAUAUAAAGCUUGGCUUUGCUGGGCUAUAUUCUUUUGACCUUGUAAACGAGAUACAUACCCACGUGGUUCUGUUGUUUUUGUUGAUAACCAUGUGGGCUAGAGGGGAUAUUUUAUUUAGAAAAAUUGCUUUUUGUUAUCAUGUCAUGUGCUGCCAUAUUAUAUAAUAUAAUAAUAAUGAAUUAGCUG